Molecule: ribosomal RNA, 755 nt
Filed under: uncultured fungus
Lineage: Eukaryota; Fungi
Description: LSU rRNA
Rfam family: Eukaryotic large subunit ribosomal RNA
Source: RNAcentral
ACCCGCUGAACUUAAGCAUAUCAAUAAGCGGAGGAAAAGAAAAUAACAAUGAUUCCCCUAGUAACGGCGAGUGAAGAGGGAAGUAGCCCAAGCUGAAAAGCUGGCGGGUUAAAAGCCUGUCCGCAUUGUAGCCUAAGGAUAUAGUCGUUCUAUCUUGUCGGCCCAGGUAUAAAUCCUUUGGAAUAAGGUUUGUCAUAGAGGGUGAGAACCCCGUCUUUGACCUGGUUGCUGGCUUGGUAGUGGCUGUCAUCCGCGAGUCGGGUUGUUUGGGAAUGCAGCCCUAACGGGAGGUAAGUUCCUCCUAAGGCUAAAUAUUGGGGAGAAAUCGAUAGCAAACAAGUACCGUGAGGGAAAGGUGAAAAGAACUUUGAAAAGAGAGUUAAAUAGUACGUGAAAUUGUUGAAAGGGAAACGAUUGACAUACAGCCAUGCGGGCAGGAAAUCAGCCGUGCAAUUGCGCACGGUGCACUUUUCUGUCCGCAGGUCAGCAGCAGUUUUGGCUGUUGGAAACGGGCAAGGGAAAGGUGGCUCACUUGUGAGUGUUAUAGUCCUUUGCUUCUACAACGGCCGGGACUGAGGAACGCUGCCCGCCCCUCUUCGGAGGAGGAUGGUGUAGUGUGUUCGGCUGUUCUUCGGACGGUUGGGGCUACAAAGGCUUGUACUUUGUACUCUACGGCUGGAGGCACCCGGGCGCACUCGUCCAACGGGCAAAGGUUGCUGGCAUAAUGAUGUUAACCGACCCGUCUUGAAACACGG